GGGGGGGGAGCGAGCGUUGUUCGGAUUUACUGGGCGUAAAGGGCGCGUAGGCUGAUAGGGCAAGUCGAGUGUGAAAUCCAACGGGCUUAACCGUUGAAUUGCACUCGAAACUGCCUGUCUCGAGUACAGGAGAGGAAGGCGGAAUUCUUGGUGUAGCGGUGAAAUGCGUAGAUAUCAAGAAGAACACCAGCGGCGAAGGCAGCUUUCUGGCCUGAUACUGACGCUGAGGCGCGAAAGCGUGGGGAGCAAACAGGAUUAGAUACCCCGGUAGUCCUGGCUGCAAACGAUGGGCACUAGGUGUAGGGGGGUUGUACCCUCUGUGCCGCAGUUAACACGUUAAGUGCCCCACCUGGGGAGUACGGUCGCAAGGCUG
This 373-nucleotide ribosomal RNA is filed under the name uncultured organism. RNAcentral's name for it is "partial 16S ribosomal RNA". It matches the Rfam family "Bacterial small subunit ribosomal RNA", at positions 525 to 896 of the family's 1533-position model. The record is from RNAcentral.